CUACGUGCCAGCAGCCGCGGUAAUACGUAGGGCGCGAGCGUUGUCCGGAAUUAUUGGGCGUAAAGGGCUUGUAGGCGGUUGGUCGCGUCUGCCGUGAAAUCCUCUGGCUUAACUGGGGGCGUGCGGUGGGUACGGGCUGACUUGAGUGCGGUAGGGGAGACUGGAACUCCUGGUGUAGCGGUGGAAUGCGCAGAUAUCAGGAAGAACACCGGUGGCGAAGGCGGGUCUCUGGGCCGUUACUGACGCUGAGGAGCGAAAGCGUGGGGAGCGAACAGGAUUAGAUACCCUGGUAGUCCACGCUGUAAACGUUGGGCACUAGGUGUGGGGGCCACCCGUGGUUUYUGCGCCGUAGCUAACGCUUUAAGUGCCCCGCCUGGGGAGUACGGCCGCAAGGCUAAAACUCAAAGGAAUUGACGGGGGCCCGCACAAGCGGCGGAGCAUGCGGAUUAAUUCGAUGCAACGCGAAGAACCUUACCAAGGCUUGACAUGC
Molecule: ribosomal RNA, 490 nt
Filed under: uncultured bacterium
Lineage: Bacteria
Description: bacterial SSU rRNA
Rfam family: Bacterial small subunit ribosomal RNA
Source: RNAcentral